RNAcentral lists this ribosomal RNA (530 nucleotides) under uncultured Lactobacillales bacterium. RNAcentral describes it as "bacterial SSU rRNA". It matches the Rfam family "Bacterial small subunit ribosomal RNA", at positions 683 to 1227 of the family's 1533-position model. The record is from RNAcentral. Lineage: Bacteria; Bacillati; Bacillota; Bacilli; Lactobacillales.
GGAAUGCGUAGAUAUAUGGAAGACACCAGUGGCGAAGGCGGCUCUCUGGUCUGUAACUGACGCUGAGGCUCGAAAGCGUGGGGAGCAAACAGGAUUAGAUACCCUGGUAGUCCAUGCCGUAAACGAUGAGUGCUAAGUGUUGGGGGGUUUCCGCCCUUCAGUGCUGGGCUAACGCAUUAAGCACUCCGCCUGGGGAGUACGACCGCAAGGUUGAAACUCAAAGGAAUUGACGGGGGCCCGCACAAGAGGUGGAGCAUGUGGUUUAAUUCGAAGCAACAAGAAGAACCUUACCAGGUCUUGACAUCAAUGGGAAAGAGAAGAAAAAAGGGUUUCCCUUCGGGGACGUGGUGACAGGGGGUGCAUGGCUGUCGUCGGGAGAUGGCGGGAGAGGUUGGGUUAAGACCGCAAACGAUGGCAACCCUUGUUGUUAGUUGCCAGGGUACUCUUGGGAAAUUGAGGGAGACUGAGGGGAAGAAGGCGGGGAAGGGGGGGGAUGACGUGCCCCUUAUGACCUGUUAUAACCCUGGCUA